CGGGCCGGAGGCCGCCGGGCUCGGAGCUGCGGGAGCGAGGGGCGGCUCGUGCGGUGGGCUUUGGAGCGGGAAGGGCGGAUGCGGUCAGGAACGCACUGUUCUGUGCUCGCCUUUAAAUAGGCUUUGAAACGGGAUCGCCGGCUGAGGGUUGUGAGGCACUGGAAGAGGUUUCCCCGUCCCUGGCAGUGUUCAGUGCCAGGCUGGAUGGGGCUUCGAGCAACCUGGUGUAGUGGUAGGUGUCCCUGCCAGUGUCUCAGGCAGUGUGCUCGCUUCUAGCAGUGCACUCGGUCAGCUUGUCUCCUGAAGUCCGGCAUCAGGACAUCACAGCGGGAAGGAGACAGAUGAAGCAUAAUGGCACGAAUGCUCCGGGAGGCUGCAUCCUCACUGCCAGAGGCCGAGCGCCAUCCACAUUAAGUCUGCAAUUGCCUGGCUGUAUUUUGCUCCUUUCUUUCGGAAGAUAGUCUUUCGCAUAUAUACAGUUGAAACUAUCCAUCUGACUAUGUAGAGAACUUGUGUACUUGUCAAAAUGGUUGUCAUACUGGCAUUUCUCAGAGCGCGAGGCCCUUCUGGAUUGGCCCUUUGGCCACAGAACCUCGUGGAGGCUUCAAAAUCACCUUCUGACCUGUGUGUCUUUAUCCACCCUGAAUGACAAAACCCUGGGUUUAGCUACUGCUUCUCGCAUCAGAUGCAGGCAGCCAGAUUUCCAAUUUGAGCUAACUCAGGCUGGCCUUACAACUCCAUGUGCAGAAGUGGUCCAGAAACAAGAUCCAACUGCAGGAGCAGUUGUGCAUUCCCCCUCACAGUCUGCAGCAGCGAGGGUAUAGUGGUUGUGCCCUGCUAAUGUCAAAACUGAAGUUGCUAAUCUUGUGGUUGGAGGAUGUUUGCAGAGCAAGAGUUAAAGUAGCUGUGAGACAGCUAUGUGCUGAAGAUCAAGCCAAGUCUAUAGAGCUAGAAGAGUGGCUCGAAGCCAUCUUUCAUGACGAUAGUGGUGGUGGUGAUGAUGAAUGGUGAUGAUUAACUCGUCCACCUCACCCUUCAUUUCUGACCAGCCACACCUGAGAAUGCAGAACCCAUCCUAUUGUUUACCUAAACCUCCUGUAAGACAACUUCUCCAAGGCUGAGAAGCACUAGAUGAGGGGUUGCGUCACUGGUGCACUGGAUAUGACAGCACUGUGCACAACCUCCUCCUUGUUUCCCUGGCAGAGGAGCCAUUUCACACACAGCAGUAUUGUGCACUGGAGCAAUGCAUGGAACUCCAUCUGCAAGGAAGAUUACACUCAGUAUGAGCUCCAUUGCACAUUAAACCACUAACAUAAAUGUACCUGCUCUGACCUAUCUCCCAACCUAUAGCAGCUGAUUGAUAUCCCAAAUGCUGUGAGAAAUGCUUCCGAUAUUCCAUUUCUCCUUCUCAGAAGCAGCCCGCAUUUUCCACCAGCUAUCUGGGAUACGUGUAUGAAUGUGCUUACCUCCAGCUGCUUGUGGCACUGGCCAAACAAACACCGGUAGGUCCUGGGCCAGGUACCAUUCUGACAGGCAUGCUUCUGUCUAGUGCCUGCUUGGGCACUUGCCUUCUAUUGGAAGAAUGCAUGUUGUCCUGCAAGAGGUGAAGAGCCUGUCAUUGAUUUGAUGAGUCUAUGAUAUUAUCGAUGCAACUCGUUUAUUCUGCCUGUUUAUUGCAGCCAGAGCAUGAGUUUAUAAAACCAUUUACUCAGCAGCAGGAAGGCAGUAAAUACAAGAAAUUGUUAACAAUUGAAUCAUCUGCAAAACUAUAGCAUGAGUGGUGCUCUCAGGAAACUGCCAGUUUUUCGAUUGGGUGAAUAGGUGUUCUUCUGGAAGUUAGCAGCCAUACUUCUGUUGAUCUUGUUGGACUGGGAUUUGAAGUUGUAUCUUAAUACCUCUUCUACCUUUCCUUCCUGAUUCCAAGAUUGUUUGGUGUUCAUGCAUUUUUGCAAGUUCUUAGAAUCUAUGAAUGACCGUUGCCUUUCUAGAGUUAGCAGGGGAAGUCUUACUGCAACUUCCUCUAGCAACUAAUGCAACCCAGUCUCUAUACAACUCACUGUUGCAUACGUGAAGCAUUUAGAAAUCAUGAGUCACAUCUAAAAGAAAUACAAUACUCUUGUAAAACUUGUGAUAUUGUAAAUCAUAGAAUCAUAGAAUGCUUUGGGGUGGAAAUGCUGGUGUCUUUCUAUUUACCUUUUGAUUUUUGAGCCUUAAGCUAUGCUGAAAUCACAUUCACAUUCUCAGGAAUGUGAUGUUAGUGAAAGUAAAUGUUAGUAAAGAGUAGGAAUGUGCUUUUCCUUUCUUUUUUUUAAUGAAAGUGAAGAUUGUCACACAAUCAAGCACUAGUACAGUUACUCAUAGCAUAGGAAGAAAUCACUCUUCCCUAUGAAAACCAGCUGUAUUAAUCUGUUUUUAAACAUAUUUAGUCUGGUUUAUCCAGUUGUUUUAUGAAUGAAAUAACAUGAAAUAAGUUUCUGCUGACAAAACUGAAUGGACUUUUUCACUAAGAAAACUAUUUUUUAAAUAUUACAGUUGCUGCCACUGUGCUAGUUCUGUGUGAACACUCACUUGCACAUCCCUCUUUUCAGUUCUUAUUUCACCUCCUUACAACUUCCAUGCGAGUUUUAGUAAGGAGAGUGAAUUGUUUAUGUACUGACCAUGCUGUUCUGCAUGUGAGCCUGUGUGUCUUGCCGAUAAAUCUUUUGCUGAUAGGCUUUUCUUUCCUGAGGGCAUCCUAUUAAUGUUCAAAAGGCUUCUACCGUCUCUUGCCUUUGUAUUGCCGCUGAUUUAUGACUAAGAUGUGGGCACUUCCCAUGUGGUGCUGGGCUGCUUGCAUAUUGCAACAGUGUGAGCACAUUGUGCUAGACACCUUACAUCCCACAAAGAGGCCAUGUGUUUCCAGAUUACAGUUCUUGGCUAAGUGUCCCAUAGUAGUUCCACAAAGUGUGUGAUGACCUGCCAUGACUGCAGUUUUAGUUACUAAAAGUGAACCAUCUUAGGUCAUAAAUCUGAGGCUUCAUAAGGCAACAGAAUACUCUGUUGCAGUUACUAAUUUGCCUUUUAUAUAACUUAUACUGGUCCAUAGACUAGUGUGUUCUCAAUUGGGUGUUCAUUCCUGAUCAGGUCAUGUAACUCCUGGCUCACUUUAUUAUAUCUGUAUUCCUGAGCACUGGUCAUUUUAGCGGGACUGCUGGAGGCAUGUUGCUGACUCUCUAUGUUGAAACAAAAAUCCACAAACAGAACUCCAAAUCCUUAAGAGUGGCUUAAAAAAAUGUGUUUGUUUAAAAAGGACAGUUUGUUUAUGUAUAAACCUUUCACUGUAA
This is a long non-coding RNA of Strigops habroptila (Kakapo), 3323 nucleotides long. RefSeq lists it as uncharacterized. The transcript is spliced from 2 exons. The record is from RefSeq and is a predicted model, not a curated record. NCBI's taxonomy places the organism in Eukaryota, Metazoa, Chordata, Aves, Psittaciformes, Psittacidae.